RNAcentral lists this ribosomal RNA (460 nucleotides) under uncultured bacterium. RNAcentral's name for it is "partial 16S ribosomal RNA". It matches the Rfam family "Bacterial small subunit ribosomal RNA", at positions 338 to 795 of the family's 1533-position model. The record is from RNAcentral.
CCUACGGGAGGCAGCAGUGAGGAAUAUUGGUCAAUGGCCGGAAGGCUGAACCAGCCAUGCCGCGUGAAGGUCAGUGCCCUAUGGGCGUUAAACUUCUUUUGUGCGGGAGCAAUAAUGGUCACGUGUGGCCAGACGAGAGUACCGUACGAAUAAGCAUCGGCUAACUCCGUGCCAGCAGCCGCGGUAAUACGGGGGAUGCAAGCGUUAUCCGGAUUUAUUGGGUUUAAAGGGUGCGUAGGCUGUGAGGUAAGUCAGCGGUGAAAUGCCCCCGCUCAACGGGGUGAAGUGACAUUGAUACUGCCUGGCUGGAAUGCGGAUGCCGUGGGAGGAAUGUGUGGUGUAGCGGUGAAAUGCAUAGAUAUCACACAGAACACCGAUUGCGAAGGCAUCUCACGAAUCCGCGAUUGACGCUGAUGCACGAAAGCGUGGGUAUCAAACAGGAUUAGAUACCCGGGUAGUC